This 515-nucleotide ribosomal RNA is filed under the name uncultured bacterium. RNAcentral describes it as "partial 16S ribosomal RNA". It matches the Rfam family "Bacterial small subunit ribosomal RNA", at positions 355 to 852 of the family's 1533-position model. The record is from RNAcentral.
UGGGGAAUAUUGCACAAUGGGCGCAAGCCUGAUGCAGCCAUGCCGCGUGUGUGAAGAAGGCCUCGGGUUGUAAAGCACUUUCAGCGAGGAGGAAGGUGGUGAACUUAAUACGUUCAUCAAUUGACGUUACUCGCAGAAGAAGCACCGGCUAACUCCGUGCCAGCAGCCGCGGUAAUACGGAGGGUGCAAGCGUUAAUCGGAAUUACUGGGCGUAAAAGCGCACGCAGGCGGUUUGUUAAGUCAGAUGUGAAAAUCCCCCGGGCUCAACCUGGGAACUGCAUUUGAAAACUGGCAAGCUAGAGUCUCGUAGAGGGGGGUAGAAAUUCCAGGUGUAGCGGUGAAAAUGCGUAGAGAUCUGGAGGAAUACCGGUGGCGAAAGGCGGCCCCCUGGANGAAAGACUGACGCUCAGGUGCGAAAAGCGUGGGGAGCAAAACAGAUUAGAUACCCUGGUAGUCCACGCUGUAAAACGAUGUCGAUUUUGGAGGUUGUGCCCUUGAGGCGUGGCUUCCGGAGC